This is an RNA transcript of Beta vulgaris subsp. vulgaris (sugar beet), 5139 nucleotides long. It is a transcript of the gene named probable UDP-N-acetylglucosamine--peptide N-acetylglucosaminyltransferase SEC, with no coding region annotated. The transcript has 29 exons. The record is from RefSeq and is a predicted model, not a curated record. Lineage: Eukaryota; Viridiplantae; Streptophyta; Magnoliopsida; Caryophyllales; Amaranthaceae.
AAUUAAGAAAAGGAAAUCCGCGUAAAUUAGGUUUAUUCUCUUCGUCAAAUUGCGGGAGAUUUUCCGCGUAAAAAUUAAUAAAAAUCACCAUUGUUGUGCCAUUUUUCUCUCUCUACUUUCACCAUUCCAGAAAAGAAGGUUUUUAUAGAGAGAAAGAAGCGAAGUAGGCGAAGGCUUUCAAGAGUUCAAUUCUCUUGAGUAGAGAGAAAAAUUCUCGAAAUUCGCACUGAAAGAUCAAAAUGUUGCUGUUGCAGAACGAUCAUCUGCAAUAUGAGCAACAAAAUUUGGAAUCACAGCACCAUAAUUCUCAACAACAGCAGAAUUUGCAGCAACAUCAGCAGAAUUUGCAGCAGUUUCAACGUCAAUUGCAGGUAGCUAGGGUUCCGUUUUCGCUCGAUCGCAAUGAUUCUUUCGUUUUUCAUUCCGAACAUCAGCAUCAAUCUCAGCCACUACCUCAGUUGCAGCAGCAGUUACAGUUGCCUUUAUCUUCGGCUUUGAAUGUGAAGAAUUCUCAGUCUCUUGAUCCUUGCCAAGUUGAUGACAAUCUGCUGCUGACUCUUGCCCACCAAAAGUACAAAGCUGGGAACUACAAGCAAGCACUUGAUCUCAGCAAUAUCUUGUUUGAGAGAAAUCCUCAUCGUACAGAUAAUCUUUUGCUAUCGGGUGCAAUUUACUAUCAGCUGCAUGACUUCGAUACUUGCAUUUCAAAGAAUGAAGAAGCUCUCCGAAUUGAUCCUCAUUUUGCUGAAUGUUAUGGCAACAUGGCAAAUGCGUGGAAGGAGAAAGGGAAUAUAGAUCUAGCUAUCCGCUAUUACUUGGUUGCCAUUGAGCUUCGACCCAAUUUUGCCGAUGCGUGGUCCAAUUUGGCCAAUGCGUACAUGCGGAAAGGAAGGGUUAACGAGGCAGCUCAAUGCUGCCGACAAGCUCUUGCAUUGAAUCCUAAUCUGGUUGAUGCUCGUUGUACACUGGGUAAUCUGUUGAAAGCCCAAGGCCAGGUCCAGGAGGCAUACAGUUGCUAUGUCGAGGCUCUCCAUGUUCAGCCUACUCUUCCUGUUGCUUGGUCUAAUCUUGCUGGGUUAUUUAUGGAGACGAGAGAUUAUAAGAAUGCUCUUCAGUGCUACAAGGAAGCUCUUAAACUCAAGCCUACAUGUGUAGAUGCCUAUCUAAACUUAGGAAAUGUUUACAAGGCUCUAGGGAUGCCUCAAGAAGCUGUGUUAUGUUAUCAACGUGCGCUGCAGGUCAGACCAGACUAUGCCAUAGCUUAUGGUAAUCUUGCCAGUAUAUAUUAUGAACAAGGGCAGAUGGAUAUGGCAAUUCUACAUUAUAAAAGAGCCAUUGAACGUGAUCCUGGUUUCUUGGAAGCUUACAAUAAUUUGGGUAAUGCACUAAAAGAUGCUAACCAAACUGAGGAAGCCAUUAAGCACUAUCGUCAAUGUCUUUCUCUGCAACCUAACCAUCCACAAGCACUUACUAAUCUUGGCAAUAUAUAUAUGGAAUGGAAUAUGAUUGGUACUGCUGCACAGUAUUAUAAGGCUACACUGAAUGUUACAACAGGAUUAUCUGCACCAUACAAUAACCUUGCAAUAAUAUACAAGCAGCAGGGUAACCUUGUGGAUGCUCUAACUUGUUACACAGAGGUCCUCCGGAUCGAUCCAUUGGCAGCUGAUGCACUCCUUAACAGGGGAAAUACAUAUAAGGAAGUUGGAAGAGUUAAUGAAGCUAUCCAGGACUACAUGAGUGCUAUUAAUGUCCGCCCUAAUAUGUCUGAAGCUCAUGCUAAUCUGGCUUCAGCUUAUAAGGACAGUGGUCAUGUUGAAGCAGCUAUAAAAAGCUACAAGCAUGCGUUGAUGUUGCGUCCUGACUUCCCAGAGGCAACAUGUAAUCUGCUUCAUACUUUACAGUGCGUAUGUGACUGGGAAGAGAGAGAGAGCAGGCUAGCUGAAGUGGAACACAUACUGAGGCGGCAAAUUCAGAUGUCUACUGUUCCAAGCGUGCAACCCUUCCAUGCCUUCGCCUACCCUCUGGAUCCAAUGCUUGCACUUGAAAUAAGUCGUAAAUAUGCGGAGCAUUGUUCUCUGGUUGCUUCUCGAUAUUCACUUCCUCCCUUCAGUUAUCCUGCUCCAUUGCCUGUAAAGGCUGUUGACGGGAGCAGGCGAUUGAGGGUUGGAUAUGUUAGCAGUGAUUUUGGCAACCAUCCCUUAUCACAUCUUAUGGGUUCGGUUUUUGGGAUGCACAACAGAGAAAAUGUUGAGGUCUUUUGUUAUGCCUUGAGUCCAAGUGAUGGUUCAGAGUGGAGGCUGCGUACUCAGACAGAAGCUGAGCAUUUUGUUGAUGUUUCUUCCAUGUCAUCUGAUGCGAUAGCUAAAUUAAUUAAUGCAGAUAAAAUUCAGAUCCUUGUAAACCUUAAUGGUUACACGAAGGGUGCAAGAAAUGAAAUAUUUGCUAUGCAACCUGCUCCGGUACAAGUCUCAUACAUGGGGUUUCCUGGAACCAUGGGUGCUACUUACAUACAGUAUCUGGUGACCGAUGAGUUUGUUUCUCCGAGUUAUUUGUCACACAUUUAUGCCGAAAAGCUAGUUCAUGUUCCCAACUGUUACUUUGUUAAUGAUUACAAACAGAAAAAUUGUGAUGUAUUGGAUCCGAAUUCGCAACCUAAGCGGUCAGAUUAUGGGCUACCUGAGGACAAAUUCAUCUUUGGAUGCUUUAAUCAGCUGUACAAAAUAGAUCCUGACAUUUUUGACACUUGGUGCAACAUUCUCAAGCGCGUUCCAAACAGUGCGCUCUGGCUUCUGAGGUUUCCAGCUGCAGGCGAGAGUAGACUGCGUGCAUAUGCUGAUGCAAGGGGUGUGCAACAGGAUCAAAUAAUUUUUACUGAUGUUGCCAUGAAGGGCGAACAUAUUAAACGCAGUGCUUUGGCUGAUCUCUGUCUUGACACGCCAUUAUGCAACGGGCACACAACUGGCACAGAUGUUCUCUGGGCUGGUUUGCCGAUGUUGACACUUCCCCUGGAGAAGAUGGCUACCAGGGUUGCUGGUUCACUAUGUUUGGCGACUGGUGUUGGAGAGGAGAUGGUGGCUAACAGUCUGAGAGAUUAUGAAGAGAAGGCAGUGUCUUUGGCGUUAAACAGACCGAAGCUUCGGGAGCUUACCAAUAGACUGAAGGCUGCCCGCUUGACUUGUCCUCUCUUUGACACUGCUCGCUGGGUGAGAAACCUUGAGCGAGCCUUCUUCAAGAUGUGGAAUCUAUACUGCGUUGGCCAGCAUCCUCAGCCAUUUAAAGUGACUGAGAAUGAUCUAGAAUGCCCAUAUGACAGAUAGGAGGAAAGAAAAUGCAAGACUACAACAUUGUAGAUAACCUGAAGACUAUAAGUUAAAAGUUUUGAGAGGUAGAAUGACUUGUUAUGGAGAUAAUUAUUGUGUUAUAGGUAUUUAUAUGCCGGAGCUGCCAGGCCUUGAAAUUCAGAACAAUUAUGGUGUUGUGACAUUCAAUGAAGAGUAACGCUGCUGCUGAUCCAACAAGGUGGUCCAAGCAGACAAUUCUGACAUAUUGUUUGUUGAACGGCGAUUUCAGCAACGAUGUUGAGUUGGGUUCUGAUAAGAAAUAAGUUAAUAUUCCCUCUAGCCCAAAAUCUUUGCUUCACUUUCUUUUGACAUGCAUUAUAGUGAUGGUUGAAAGUAGAGAGAAUAAAUAUGGGGCGGUGGGUUUGGGCCCAAACUUUGAGGAUUAGUGUAUCUUAUAGAGCAAUAAUUUUGGGCCUGACUAAAUAGGCAAAGAUUUUGGGAUGGAGGGUGUAUAUGCGAAUUUCGACAACCUUUUUGAUCUAAGCUGAGAUUUGUGGUGACAGCCCCUCAAUGCUGCAGAAACAGUUGGAUGAACACUGAUCAUGACUUAACUUAUUAUUUUCCUAGGAUUCGGUUGCUCUUACAGGGAAGUUGUUGGUUUAAAUGGAUGGUCAAAUAAGGGAGAUUGGGAUUAGGUGCCUUAAAGUGAUUUUGUGUAAUGAACGGAGUAAGGGAAAGAGGGUGAAGAAAGAUACUCGGGUGCUUGUGGUGUUCUAUAAUGGCAUGGAAGGGGAAUAUCCUACUUAUAUGAGGUUGGCUAAGAGCCUAAGACCAUUAUGACCAAGAAAAAGGAGAAGAUCAACCUGAUCACUGAAAUUUUUUAGCUGUUUCUACCCCCUCCCUGCUUCCCUUUUCUUUUGCCUCAGCUGUAAAUCUGUAAUGACGAUCUGGAGGCGUCCUUGCUAGCUGAAGGAGCUAGAGCAACCAUUGUGACGCGGGUGUCCGUGAAGAUGCCAUGCCAAGGAAAAGGUAAGCAUUACGCAAUUGUCAACAAGAAAGGUAAAGGAAAAUUAAUUAACAGGUCAAUGAAAUCUUUAAACUUAAUAAGAUGGGGUGCUGAUAAAGGAUCAUAAUCAGAUAAAAACUCAAAAACAACCAGAGCAAUUUCUUGCAAAAAAGUUGACAAUAAAAGGAGAGAUGGAGGGUGGGAAUGGUAAGUGAAAAGCCAGAAUCUGACCCCAGAAAUUGGACUUUUUCCUGUAUAUAGUGCUUCCACAUUGAAGGCAAAAUUCUCGAUACUUGGAUGUGCAACAUGCACAUUGUAUGUCACUCUGUAGGCAUGCGUCAGCAUGGGGAUAUUGCUGCUACUUCAUUUCAGCAAUAGUUCAUGUCUUGCAUCUGCCAGGAUCGCUCGCUGUAAAUCGAGCUGUUCGGUUGAUGCAAAUCGAACAACCGAGCCAGUAUGACUAAUAAUAGCGACCGACCUUAAAUUGUCUGACAUCAGAGUUACCGAACAAGUCGGACUUGAACCAUAUGACAGUAUCCUGAAGCAGUAUAGGAGUAUUAUCCAUUUGUGAGGAAAACAACUUAAACUAGUACAUGCCGAUCCCGGUCUACGCUUACCUGCAGGCUACAUGCUUCGUUUUCAUUUCUGUAUCUCUAGCCCUAUACUAACCCGAAUGCGCUCAUUGAUUGACCCCGGUAAUUUUAAGAAAAGAGAGAUUUACCUUCGAACUAUUGAUACUAUUCGCAAUUUGUGGACUCAAAAUUUUGAACUCAACGUCAUCAACAUGCAGACUGAAUGGUACAAUUGUUGCCUGAUUAAUCUGAGAAAUAAUUGAUUGCCUUAAUUUUCAAA